CUAACGUCGGCAGGGGCAGCGGUGGGCCUGCAGAGGACGACCGGGCAACCCGGCCGUGAAAGUCCGGGUCCCCAACGGAGGAAGAGAGCCCGGGCCGCGGGGCGGAGCCUUUGUAGAGGUUAUCGCGGGAACAGCGACCCCUUCAGGAUCGCCGCGGGGCGCGCUGGGAGCUUGGCCAGUUCCGCCUCGGGGAGGGUCGUGUUCGUUGUCAGGGGCGCGCCGCGGGGCAGCUGUGGCGCUGCGUGUUUGCAAGUAAGCCCCUGAGAACCAAGAGCAGAGACAACCCAAAUCCCCCCUUUUUGUUUUAAGUGAAAAUAUGGAAGUUGUAGCAUAAAAUUACAGUAUCUGUGGAAUUAGAACCACCAGCUCCCUGUCAUCAUGUAGCACCCGCUCCCUGCUGGCCCCUGACGCCUGGAUGGCACUUGGCGAACGUUUGCAGAAUAGGGUCGAAUUUAAUGUCCCCACCGAGCCUGUUGUUCAUUCAUUCAGCAUUAUUGAGUAUCUGCCGUGUACCAGGAUUGAAUCAUGUGCUGGAGAUACCAUGCUGAACAAGACUGUCCCUGCCCUCAGGAAGCUCUCAGUUCGGUUACUUGACAACCUUCAGAGACACCCCCCUCCCGCUGCUCCAGUUUUGUUUCUAUUUGCUGCCACAAGGAUUUUGUGACUGCCUAACGUGCUGGAUUACAAGAUCAACACUAGGUGCAUACUUGGUGCAAAAUACGGUGCCCAGGACACCAAAUGCCGGGUGGAGAACGUAUAAGAUGGUACGUGGGGAGUUUCUUGCCUUUCGGGAAGUCUGAGGUCUUCUGCCAGCAUUCAGUAGGCGUUCAGUAGGAGUUUUUCCACAUGUAGAGGCACAUUGUCAUGCCGAACAAGACGGGGAUACUGUUAGCAAAGAAGAAGUGGAGAAGAGUUAUAGGACAAGCAACUAUCAAUAUCUGCCAUGCUUCUGUGCGGCAAGAACUGAAAGUCUCCUGUGUUCUUUCUGCUGCACUGCAACUUCCUUUCAGUUUUUAGACUGAACAGGGUAGGCAACAUAACUCGCAGCGCAGAGUACAAAAUGGAAGUAUGGAACCCCUUGUUCAAGAAAUAGGAGAAAAGUGCCAAAGGUGCAA
This is a long non-coding RNA of Eubalaena glacialis (North Atlantic right whale), 1115 nucleotides long. RefSeq lists it as uncharacterized. NCBI's taxonomy places the organism in Eukaryota, Metazoa, Chordata, Mammalia, Artiodactyla, Balaenidae. The record is from RefSeq and is a predicted model, not a curated record. The transcript has 3 exons.